UAUGGCAUGGUUCUAAACUCUUG
RNAcentral lists this non-coding RNA (23 nucleotides) under Cricetulus griseus (Chinese hamster). The record is from RNAcentral. Lineage: Eukaryota; Metazoa; Chordata; Mammalia; Rodentia; Cricetidae.